RNAcentral lists this ribosomal RNA (2544 nucleotides) under metagenome. RNAcentral describes it as "bacterial LSU rRNA". It matches the Rfam family "Bacterial large subunit ribosomal RNA", at positions 14 to 2593 of the family's 2925-position model. The record is from RNAcentral.
AGGGCGCAUGGGGGAUGCCUAGGCUCUGACUGGCGANGAAGGGCGCGACAAGCAGCGAAAUUCCACGGGGAGCCGCACAUUGGCCUCGAUCCGUGGGUUCCCGAAUGGGGCAACCCGGNGUCUUGAAGAGACNCCACCCGCNAGGGGGCCGACCCGGCGAACUGAAACAUCUAAGUAACCGGAGGAAGAGAAAACAAUAGUGAUCCCGCAAGUAGUGGCGAGCGAACGCGGGCCAGCCCAAACCGUGCCCGUCAAGGCGGGCGCGGGGUUGUAGGGCCGCAUUUAACACAGGAGGACGAACCGGAACGGCAUGGGAAGGCCGGCCAUAGAGGGUGAGAGCCCCUUACGGGCAAGGAGUNCNGGUGAGCGGUACCCUGAGUAGGGCGGGGCCGGAGGAACCCCGUCCGAAGCGAGCGGCACCAUCCGCUAAGGCUAAACACAUGUCAGAGACCGAUAGUGAACCAGUACCGUGAGGGAAAGGUGAAAAGUACCCUGAGCAAGGGGGUGAAAUAGAACCUGAAACCAUGCGCCUACAAGCGGUCGGAGCCGNGAGAUNCGGUGACGGCGUGCCUUUUGCAUAAUGAGCCUACGAGUUGCCGUCCCUGGCGAGGUUAAGGGGUUCAGCCCCGCAGCCGGAGCGAAAGCGAGUCUGAACAGGGCGCGUAGUCAGUGGCGGCAGACGCGAAACUUUGUGAUCUACCCUUGGGCAGGUUGAAGUUCGGGUAAAACCGAAUGGAGGACCGAACCGGUAAACGUUGAAAAGUUUUCGGAUGACCUGAGGGUAGGGGUGAAAGGCCAAUCAAACUGAGAGAUAGCUCGUACUCCCCGAAAUGCCUUUAGGGGCAGCCCAACGUAGUGCCAUUGGGAGGUAGAGCUACCGAUUGGACUAGGGGGAGUCAAAUCCUACCAAAUCCAGACGAACUCCGAAUGCCCAUUGGCAACAAUUGGAGUGAGGGCCGGGGUGCUAAGGUCACGGUCCGAGAGGGGAAGAACCCAGACCGACAGCUAAGGCCCCAAAGCGCGCGCUGAGUUCAACUAAGGUGGUCCAGCUGCAGUGACAGCCAGGAUGUUUGCUCGGAAGCAGCAAUUCAUUCAAAGAGUGCGUAACAGCUCACUGGUCGAGCGGCAGGGCAUCGAUAAUAAGCGGGGAUAAGCGCGCCGCCGAAGCUUCGGGCCAGGCAGUUUACUGUCGUGGCGGUAGGGGAGCAUUCCGGUCGCGGUGAAGGUGNGGCGUGAGCCCAGCUGGAGCGUCCGGAAAAGCAAAUGUAGGCAUAAGUAACGACAAUGCGGGCGCGAAACCCGCACACCGAUAGACCAAGGUUUCCCAGUCAACGCUAAUCGGGCUGGGGUCAGUCGGGUCCUAAGGGGAAGGCGAAGGCCGAUCCCGAUGGCAAGCCGGUCAACAUUCCGGCACCGCCUUUAUGGGCGACGGGGCGACGGGGCAGUGGAAGGCGUGCGCGCAGACGGAAUUGCGCGUUGAAGGGUGUAGGUAUAGGUGCCACAGGGAAAUCCGUGGCGCUUGCCGAGACCCGAUAGUACCCCGAGUCCACGGACGAGGGGAUAACCGCCCUAAAUGCCCCCAAGAAAAACCUCUAAGCUUAACCAUNNNGGCGCCCGUACCGCAAACCGACACAGGUGGUCAAGGAGAGGAUCCUGAGGUGCUCGAGUGAAUCACGGCCAAGGAACUCGGCAAACUAGCCCUGUAACUUCGGGAGAAGGGGCCCCCCGUUUCGGCGGGGGCGCAGAGAAAUGGCCCAGGCGACUGUUUAACAAAAACACAUGGCUACGCGAAACCGCAAGGUGAAGUAUGUGGCCUGACACCUGCCCGGUGCUGGAAGGUUAAGGGGGGGCGUCAUCGCGAGAGAAGCGCUGAACUGAAGCCCCAGUAAACGGCGGCCGUAACUAUAACGGUCCUAAGGUAGCGAAAUUCCUUGUCGGGUAAGUUCCGACCUGCACGAAUGGUGUAACGAUCUGGGCGCUGUCUCGGCCGUGAGCUCGGUGAAAUUGAAGUAGCGGUGAAGAUGCCGCUUACCCGCAACGGGACGGAAAGACCCCGUGCACCUUUACUACAGCUUUGCGCUGGCCUUGGGCAGACGAUGUGUAGCAUAGGCGGGAGGCUUCGAUCCCGUGCCGCCAGGUACGGGUUAGCCGACGUUGAAAUACCGCCCUUUGUCUGUCUGGGGCCUAACCCCNCAACGGGGACACCGCAUGGCGGGUAGUUUGACUGGGGUGGUCGCCUCCAAAAGGGUAACGGAGGCUCCCAAAGGUCCCCUCAGCACGCUUGGUAACCGUGCGCGGAGUGCAAUGGCACAAGGGGGCUUGACUGCGAGGCGUACAUGCCGACCAGGCGCGAAAGCGGGGCAUAGUGAUCCGGUGGUCCCGCAUGGGUGGGCCAUCGCUCAAAGGAUAAAAGGUACGCCGGGGAUAACAGGCUGAUCUCCCCCAAGAGCUCACAUCGACGGGGAGGUUUGGCACCUCGAUGUCGGCUCGUCACAUCCUGGGGCUGGAGAAGGUUCCAAGGGUUGGGCUGUUCGCCCAUUAAAG